RNAcentral lists this ribosomal RNA (374 nucleotides) under uncultured soil bacterium. Its description in RNAcentral is "bacterial SSU rRNA". It matches the Rfam family "Bacterial small subunit ribosomal RNA", at positions 26 to 412 of the family's 1533-position model. The record is from RNAcentral.
AGAUUGAACGCUGGCGGCAUGCCUAACACAUGCAAGUCGAACGGGAGUAGCAAUACUCUAGUGGCGGACGGGUGAGGAAUACGUAGGAAUUUGCCCUUAAGUGGGGGAUAACCCGGGGAAACCCGGAUUAAUACCGCAUGACCUCGAAAGAGCAAAGUGGGGGAUCGCAAGACCUCACGCUUUUGGAGAAGCCUACGUCGGAUUAGCUAGUUGGUGAGGUAAUGGCUCACCAAGGCGACGAUCCGUAACUGGUCUGAGAGGAUGAUCAGUCACACCGGAACUGAGACACGGUCCGGACUCCUACGGGAGGCAGCAGUGGGGAAUAUUGGACAAGUGGGCGCAAGCCUGAUCCAGCAAUGGCCGCGUGUGUAGAA